CCCACGCAGCCCCCACACCCCCACUCCCCACCGUUCCAACCCUUGUCUCCUCCACCCGCACCCGCUUGCCAAACCCUAGCCGCCGCCGCCCCCGCCCCCGCACGAUGGCCGUCGACGGCGAGGAGCCCGAAUCCCCACGCCUCCCUGUCCUCCGCCAUGGCCACAGCGGGCCUUCCGGAUCCGCGUCGUCGACGAGCUGGAUCCGCGCCUCCUCGCGCCGACGUCGUCUCCCCGAUCCAGAUCGACGCCACCUGGGGAGCUGGGCAAGGGUGUGUGGGGGUAUUGGGAGAUGGGCGCGUGGAAGCCGCUGGGGAUCAGCGGCCGGCAGCGCGCGCGGCUCCGCAAGGAGGUGCUCCUCGCCGGCGAGGACUGGGCCUACGACCCGCCCCGCGGCAAGAUGCGCACCAAGCGCAAGGGCCACAAGGUCGACCGCAUCGCCGCCGAGAAGCGUGGCAACACCGUUGAGCCGAUGAAGAAGAUGCCCUAGAUGCUCCUCGACUACAAGCGGCUUCAGCUUCGCCUGCUGGUCGUCUGCACCGGAUGCCGCGCCCGGGGCUGCCGGUGGUCUUGAGGACGACGCCCAGGCUCAAGGCGUACGAGGGCGUGCCGCCGCCGUACGACAGGACCAAGCGCAUGGUCAUCCCCGACGCGCUCAAGGUUCUGAGGCUGCAGCCUGGGCACAGGUACUGCCUCCUCGGCCAGCUCUCCAAGGAGGUCGGAUGGAACUACGCUCACACCAUCAGGGCCCGGCAACCUUGUCCUAGCUGGGUCUGCAAAAUCUGAAGCCAAGGUUGUGCUCUUUGAUCCUGGAACUGUUGUCGAGAUGGAUGAAGAGGGGUGCUGGUUGGAGGACCCAGAACCCUCCCAGCUGCUGUGUCUCACGGUGCCCCUACCCUGCCUGCCUGAAUGGCCAAAUUAUUGGCUGUUACUUCUCUGGUUUUAUAUUGAGUUUGGGAAUUUGGUAUUGAUGAUAGUCCGGCGACUCUGUCAUCUGAUGCGCAAGUCCAUGCACGUCGGCUCUCUGGGUCGUCCAGUAAAGCUGUCGAAGGAGCUCCAUGCUGAAGAACAUAACACUUGUAGAGCUUGCAAAUACUGUAUCUCAUUAUUGAACCCUUUUUGAACCCUUUUUGAUCUGAAUCCCAUGAAGAAGUAAAUGAGCCUAGUUUUUUUAACAGGCAUGCUGUCUUAUUAAAUCAGGGGGAAAUUAUUGCCUGGAUAGGUGUUUUCUUUUGUGAAGUUAGUCGAUGUUGAUCAAGUCCCCAUUUCCGCUGUAUGAAACGUUUCUCCUGUUGUACUUCUUAAAAAGCUUUCCGCUGAUGGCAGGAAGAAGAAGGCUGUUCACAAGAUGGCAGGAAGAAGCAGGCUGAUUCGAUUAGAUCCUCAAGAUGCUGGCCUUUCAUGUUUCUUCACGAGCAUCAGGACAAAGAAGUUGGAAGAAGCAUAGUUCUAGCUCAUUGGAGCUAGUUCUGGGAGCAAUGAAACCCUUUAGGCUGAUCCUAUUUGUAUGUGUUUUAUAUGAUGUAGCAGAACUUGUCGGGCUCAUGUGAUAGACUCAUGUGGUAGACUGUAUACUUGUAGAGCUGUUAUCUAAUUGUAAACUUGAUGCUGAUCACAUUUGUAUGUAUGUUAUAUGAUGUAGCAGAUUGCUUCUUGUUGUUAUUUGAAGUAUUGCGUCGGUUU
Non-coding RNA from Aegilops tauschii subsp. strangulata, 1680 nucleotides. The record is from RefSeq and is a predicted model, not a curated record. Lineage: Eukaryota; Viridiplantae; Streptophyta; Magnoliopsida; Poales; Poaceae.